This 86-nucleotide transfer RNA is filed under the name Metschnikowia bicuspidata var. bicuspidata NRRL YB-4993. It matches the Rfam family "tRNA". Rfam says of the family: Transfer RNA (tRNA) molecules are approximately 80 nucleotides in length. Their secondary structure includes four short double-helical elements and three loops (D, anti-codon, and T loops). Further hydrogen bonds mediate the characteristic L-shaped molecular structure. tRNAs have two regions of fundamental functional importance: the anti-codon, which is responsible for specific mRNA codon recognition, and the 3' end, to which the tRNAs corresponding amino acid is attached (by aminoacyl-tRNA synthetases). tRNAs cope with the degeneracy of the genetic code in two manners: having more than one tRNA (with a specific anti-codon) for a particular amino acid; and 'wobble' base-pairing, i.e. permitting non-standard base-pairing at the 3rd anti-codon position. RNAcentral also lists the same sequence under 2 other names. The record is from Rfam by way of RNAcentral. Lineage: Eukaryota; Fungi; Ascomycota; Pichiomycetes; Serinales; Metschnikowiaceae.
CUCUCGGUGGCCAAGCUGGCUAAGGCGCGAGACUGUAAUCUUUGACUGUAAUCUUGAGAUCGGGUGUUCGACUCACCCCCGGGAGA